This 1086-nucleotide ribosomal RNA is filed under the name uncultured organism. RNAcentral's name for it is "bacterial SSU rRNA". It matches the Rfam family "Bacterial small subunit ribosomal RNA", at positions 297 to 1413 of the family's 1533-position model. The record is from RNAcentral.
AGCAUGGCCCCCCACAAUGGGACUGGAACACGGCCCAUACUCCUACGGGAGGCAGCAGCAGGGAAUAUUGCACAAUGGACGGAAGUCUGAUGCAGCGACGCCGCGUGGAUGAAGAAGGCCCUCGGGUUGUAAAAUCCUUUACAGGGGGAAGAGGAAGGACGGUACCCCUGGAACAAGUGUCGGCUAACUACGUGCCAGCAGCCGCGGUAAGACGUAGGACACAAGCGUUAUCCGGAUUUACUGGGCGUAAAGCGUCUGCAGGCGGACAGGUAAGUUGGGCGUGAAGCUCCGGGCCCAACCCGGAGAGGUCGUUCAAUACUGCGUGUCUAGAGGGUGUCAGAAGGGAGUGGAAUUUCCGGAGUACCGGUAAAAUGCGCAGAGAUCGGAAAGAACACCAAUGGCGAAGGCAGCUCACUGGGGCAACCCUGACGCUAAGAGACGAAAAGCUAGGGGAGCGAACAGGAUUAGAGACCCUGGUAGUCCUAGCCCUAAACGAUGGAUGCUGGAUGUGGGGCCAUAGCGCUCCGUGUCGAAGCGAACGCGUUAAGCAUCCCGCCUGGGGACUACGGCCGCAAGGUUAAAACUCAAACGAAUUGACGGGACCCCGCACAAGCAGCGGAGCGUGUGGUUUAAUUCGAUGCUACACGAAGAACCUUACCUGGGUUUGACAUCUAGGUGGUAGUGAAAGCGAAAGCGGAGCGACCCUUCGGGGAGCCUAGACAGGUGCUGCAUGGCUGUCGUCAGCUCGUGCCGUGAGGUGUCGGGUUAAGUCCCGUAACGAGCGCAACCCUUGCCCUCCGUUAUACGUGUCAGAGGGGACUGCCGGCGGUAAGCCGGAGGAAGGUGGGGAUGACGUCAAGUCAGCAUGGCCUUUAUAUCCAGGGCUACACACACGCUACAAUGGCCAGUACAAAGGGCAGCGAAGCCGCGAGGUGGAGCGAAUCCCAGCAAAGCUGGUCGUAGUUCGGAUUGCAGGCUGCAACCCGCCUGCAUGAAGCUGGAGUUGCUAGUAACCGCGCGUCAGCCAUAGUGCGGUGAAUACGUUCCCGGGGUUUGUACACACCGCCCGUCACGUCAUGGGAGUCG